This 2244-nucleotide long non-coding RNA is filed under the name Helianthus annuus (common sunflower). Lineage: Eukaryota; Viridiplantae; Streptophyta; Magnoliopsida; Asterales; Asteraceae. The record is from RNAcentral.
AAGACAUUGGUACACGCACAUUGUGGCUUCUUAAAACCGUUUUAUGCACAUAAUUCAUGCUCUUUAGUUACGAAAUUUAAAAUUGUUAUGCACAGGACUUUCAUCGGGUAAAGCUUGAACAAUUCACUAAUUCCUUGAUUCAGGUGGUCUCAAUGGAUAAAUCUAGCAGGAGGCCCUUAUGGUUCAAAAAGGGGCUGCUGGUUCACAAGUACCAUCCAGUACAACAGAGGAAAAAGUGCUUGAUUCUAAGUCUCAUGUCGAACCACAAAUGUUUAGAGGUCAUGUAAGACUUGAUACUGACUCAUAUACGUUGUCAACCAUGUGAGUACCCUUCUUAAAAUGAUUUCGGGUUAAGACGGCUCCGAGCAAAAUGAGUUCAGUUCAAUUAAAUUAUUAUUAGUUAAGUUCGGGUAAAUAUGGGUUUGGAGCAAAAUAAGUUCGGUGGUUUUGUUGAAAAAAAAACUUUAAAGUUUUGAAACUUUUUUUGAGCACCUAUGUUUAUGUAUUACAUAUGAUGAUUAUUUUGUCGAAUAAAUGGGUUCUGAGAAACAGCUUGAUUAACUUUUUAUCGAAGAAAUGGGUUUUGAUGAGGAGACUUUGGUCAAUUUCAACGUAUAAAGAAGUCUUUAAUGACUUGUGAUUUUUGCGUUACUUUUUUUUUUUGAAUUAAUUGUAGUUUACUAAUUUCAUUAGUACUUGAACGUUUAUUUCUUUCUAAGGAUUAUUUCAACAAUUUUAAGUGAUAUCUAUUUUCUUUCCUUGAAUUUAACUGUUUUCAAGGAUAUCAUCCCUUGGUAUAUUAAUAUGAAUUUAAAUAAGAAUUUAGAUAUUGAAGUUUAUAUAAAUUUGAUGUCAAUCAAAAUAUGAAAACCAUGACCUUUUGUUACUCUAUUAAAGGUUCGCUGGUAUGUAACAGGUUUUUGGAUAGGGAAGUGAUCACUCUGUUUGGUUUUGGGUUUGUACCAGUUAGGGUCGUGUAUUGUUUGUUUGGGACAUGUUUCAACCCUUAGACGUGAAGCCUAAGUUUGGAAAGGCCUAGAACAAAAAUGAUGAUCUACAUGGGCUUCAAUGCCAGUAGAUAUUAUAUGUUUGUGUUAAGCCACCCGCGAAGCUCGCGGGAUCUUAGGCUAGUAUAUAUAUAUAUAUAUAUAUAUAUAAACACCAAAAAUCCGAAAUAAAAACAAACGAAAGAAGUAGAAUGAAAGAGAUAAACACUGUGUUCUCGAGUUUCAUUAAAUGAGAGAAAAGAAAAGAUUUGGAAGGAAAUAAUUUUUAGUUGUGUUCCACAGUUUCGUUAAAGGAGAGAAGAGAAGAGAAAAUAAGAGGUUUUUUGCCUAAAUUUAAUCUUUCCAAUUUGGAAAGAAACGAAGAGAAGAGAAAAGAAAAUGAGAUAAUCAUUUCUUUUCUCCCCUUAGCUUAACUCGGGAACACAGCGAAAGUGACGCCAAAUUAAGGCUUUGGAGGACAAGUUUGGCCCGUUGAAAUCUGAAAAAGUCAAAGGAUUUGAAUUAUGGGGUGUCGAUUAAGUAGAUUUGAAUUAUUCAAUUUCAAAGGCUUUGGUAACACAAGCCUGACCUUUGGGAACGCACUAAAAAAAUGCUACCAUGAGAGAUCAUGUGUUUACAAUCAUUAUCCUCAAAGACUGGAUAUAACCAUUUAGGAGACUAAUCAACUCAUUCUAGUGGAUACCAUUUUUAACUCGUGCGUUAGAUCAAAUGCUUUUCUACGUACCAUUUGCAUGAAACAAUAUUAAAUUAAAUGUGAUAAUUUUGACUAUUUUAUCUAUAAAUAAGUUGAUUAAAGUUUGAUAAUUUUGACUAAACAAAAAUGUAUCUAUGUAUGAGUUGAUUUAUUUUAAUAAAGAGUGUAUAAAAAGAAAAAUAAACUUUUGCUUAAUUGUUAACCCAACCCUUUCCUUCCUUCCUUCAAAUAACAACAUUUCAACUCAAACCUGCUUUAACCUUUUACAUAAGUUUUAAAGGUUGACUUGUUGCUCUGUUUUUGAAUGAAAUUAAGGCAAUCUAUAUUUGUUUUGACCCGACUACUUAGAGUUAGUUUAUAUGAAUAGAAUACAAUAACUAUGGCCCUAAACAAUUCCGUUCCUGGUCUAAUAGAAAGAAAUUCAGGAUAUGUAUUUGAUCCGACCAGUCCCGUUUAUAUUAUUGUAGCUAUUUAUUUGAACAAUUAGUCAACCCACUACCCACCCAUGUUAACCCCGCGCUUUGAAUAUGUCUACUUUGUCAC